Molecule: ribosomal RNA, 157 nt
Filed under: uncultured bacterium
Lineage: Bacteria
Description: partial 16S ribosomal RNA
Rfam family: Bacterial small subunit ribosomal RNA
Source: RNAcentral
GAAAGCCUGAUCCAGCCAUGCCGCGUGUGUGAAGAAGGUCUUCGGAUUGUAAAGCACUUUAAGUUGGGAGGAAGGGCAUUAACCUAAUACCUUGCUGUUUUGACGUUACCGACAGAAUAAGCACCGGCUAACUUCGUGCCAGCAGCCGCGGUAAUAC